RNAcentral lists this ribosomal RNA (274 nucleotides) under uncultured bacterium. RNAcentral describes it as "partial 16S ribosomal RNA". It matches the Rfam family "Bacterial small subunit ribosomal RNA", at positions 523 to 796 of the family's 1533-position model. The record is from RNAcentral.
AUACGGAGGGUGCAAGCGUUACUGGGAAUCACUGGGCGUAAAGCGCGCGCAGGCGGCCAUUUAAGUUGGAUGAGAAAGCCUACGGCUCAACCGUAGAACUGCAUCCAAAACUAUUUGGCUAGAGUGUGGGAGAGGAAGAUGGAAUUAGUUGUGUAGGGGUAAAAUCCGUAGAGAUAACUAGGAAUACCAAAAGCGAAGGCAAUCUUCUGGAACACUACUGACGCUGAGGCGCGAAAGCGUGGGGAGCAAACGGGAUUAGAAACCCUAGUAGUCC